RNAcentral lists this ribosomal RNA (460 nucleotides) under uncultured bacterium. RNAcentral describes it as "partial 16S ribosomal RNA". It matches the Rfam family "Bacterial small subunit ribosomal RNA", at positions 338 to 795 of the family's 1533-position model. The record is from RNAcentral.
CCUACGGGAGGCAGCAGUGAGGAAUAUUGGUCAAUGGGCGUAAGCCUGAACCAGCCAAGCCGCGUGAGGGAUGAAGGUUCUAUGGAUCGUAAACCUCUUUUAUAAGGGAAUAAAGUGCGGGACGUGUCCCGUUUUGUAUGUACCUUAUGAAUAAGGAUCGGCUAACUCCGUGCCAGCAGCCGCGGUAAUACGGAGGAUCCGAGCGUUAUCCGGAUUUAUUGGGUUUAAGGGGUGCGUAGGCGGGGUUUUAAGUCAGCGGUGAAAGUCUGUGGCUCAACCAUAGAAUUGCCGUUGAAAAUGGGAGGCUUGAGUAUGUUAGAGGCAGGCGGAAUGCGGGGUGUAGCGGUGAAAUGCGUAGAUAUCACGAAGAACACCGAUUGCGAAGGCAGCCUGCUAAGCCAUGACUGACGCUGAGGCACGAAAGCGUGGGGAUCAAACAGGAUUAGAUACCCGGGUAGUC